CUACGGGAUGCACCAGUGAGGAAUUUUGCGCAAUGGGCGAAAGCCUGACGCAGCAACGCCGCGUGAGUGACGAAGGCCUUCGGGUCGUAAAGCUCUGUCAAGCGGGAAGAACCCGCGGACGUCCAACAAGCGUCCGCGCUGACGGUACCGCUGAAGGAAGCACCGGCUAACUCCGUGCCAGCAGCCGCGGUAAUACGGAGGGUGCGAGGUUAUUCGGAAUUAUUGGGCGUAAAGGGCGCGCAGGCGGCCCUGAAAGUCAGAUGUGAAAGCCCGGGGCUCAACCCCGGAAGUGCAUUUGAUACUGCAGGGCUUGAGUAUGGGAGAGGGAAGUGGAAUUCCUGGUGUAGAGGUGAAAUUCGUAGAUAUCAGGAGGAACACCGGUGGCGAAGGCGACUUCCUGGACCAAUACUGACGCUGAGGCGCGAAGGCGUGGGGAGCAAACAGGAUUAGAUACCCCUGUAGUC
This 464-nucleotide ribosomal RNA is filed under the name uncultured bacterium. RNAcentral's name for it is "partial 16S ribosomal RNA". It matches the Rfam family "Bacterial small subunit ribosomal RNA", at positions 339 to 795 of the family's 1533-position model. The record is from RNAcentral.